GUGGGGAAUAUUGGGCAAUGGGCGAAAGCCUGACCCAGCAACGCCGCGUGAAGGAAGAAGGUUUUCGGAUCGUAAACUUCUAUCCUUGGUGAAGAUAAUGACGGUAGCCAAGAAGGAAGCCCCGGCUAACUACGUGCCAGCAGCCGCGGUAAUACGUAGGGGGCAAGCGUUGUCCGGAAUGAUUGGGCGUAAAGGGCGCGUAGGCGGCCUGGUAAGUCUGGAGUGAAAGUCCUGCUUUUAAGGUGGGAAUUGCUUUGGAUACUGUCGGGCUUGAGUGCAGGAGAGGUAAGUGGAAUUCCCGGUGUAGCGGUGAAAUGCGUAGAGAUCGGGAGGAACACCAGUGGCGAAGGCGACUUACUGGACUGUAACUGACGCUGAGGCGCGAAAGUGUGGGGAGCAAACAGGAUUAGAAACCCGAGUAGUCC
Molecule: ribosomal RNA, 425 nt
Filed under: uncultured bacterium
Lineage: Bacteria
Description: partial 16S ribosomal RNA
Rfam family: Bacterial small subunit ribosomal RNA
Source: RNAcentral